This 497-nucleotide ribosomal RNA is filed under the name uncultured bacterium. RNAcentral's name for it is "partial 16S ribosomal RNA". It matches the Rfam family "Bacterial small subunit ribosomal RNA", at positions 28 to 507 of the family's 1533-position model. The record is from RNAcentral.
GAUGAACGCUGGCGGCGUGCCUAAUACAUGCAAGUCGAGCGAACGGACGAGAAGCUUGCUUUUCUGAUGUUAGCGGCGGACGGGUGAGUAACACGUGGAUAACCUACCUAUAAGACUGGGAUAACUUCGGGAAACCGGAGCUAAUACCGGAUAAUAUUUUGAACCGCAUGGUUCAAAAGUGAAAGACGGUCUUGCUGUCACUUAUAGAUGGAUCCGCGCUGCAUUAGCUAGUUGGUAAGGUAACGGCUUACCAAGGCAACGAUGCAUAGCCGACCUGAGAGGGUGAUCGGCCACACUGGAACUGAGACACGGUCCAGACUCCUACGGGAGGCAGCAGUAGGGAAUCUUCCGCAAUGGGCGAAAGCCUGACGGAGCAACGCCGCGUGAGUGAUGAAGGUCUUCGGAUCGUAAAACUCUGUUAUUAGGGAAGGACAUAUGUGUAAGUAACUGUGCACAUCUUGACGGUACCUAAUCAGAAAGCCACGGCUAACUACGUG